This 344-nucleotide ribosomal RNA is filed under the name uncultured Verrucomicrobiota bacterium. RNAcentral describes it as "bacterial SSU rRNA". It matches the Rfam family "Bacterial small subunit ribosomal RNA", at positions 29 to 351 of the family's 1533-position model. Lineage: Bacteria; Pseudomonadati; Verrucomicrobiota. The record is from RNAcentral.
AACGAACGCUGGCGGCGUGGAUAAGACAUGCAAGUCGAGCGCUGAUUACAGGGUAGCAAUAUUCUGUGGUCGGAGCGGCGCAAGGGUGCGUAACACGUGGGUAAUCUGCCAUGAAGUUUGGAAUAACUCGCUGAAAGGCGAGCUAAUGCCGGAUGUGAAAGCUGGGAGGCAUCUCCUGGUUUUUAAAGCUGGGGACCGUAAGGCCUGGCGCUUCUUGAUGAACCCGCGGCCUAUCAGCUUGUUGGUGAGGUAAAAGCUUACCAAGGCUAUGACGGGUAGCUGGUCUGAGAGGAUGAUCAGCCACACUGGGACUGAGACACGGCCCAGACUCCUACGGGUGGCUG